RNAcentral lists this ribosomal RNA (161 nucleotides) under uncultured bacterium. RNAcentral's name for it is "partial 16S rRNA". It matches the Rfam family "Bacterial small subunit ribosomal RNA", at positions 358 to 511 of the family's 1533-position model. The record is from RNAcentral.
GGAAUCUUCCACAAUGGGCGAAAGCCUGAUGGAGCAACGCCGCGUGUGUGAUGAAGGGUUCCGGCUCGUAAAACACUGUUGUAAGAGAAGAAUGACAUUGAGAGUAACUGUUCAAUGUGUGACGGUAUCUUACCAGAAAGGAACGGCUAAAUACGCGCCAG